Molecule: ribosomal RNA, 492 nt
Filed under: uncultured bacterium
Lineage: Bacteria
Description: partial 16S ribosomal RNA
Rfam family: Bacterial small subunit ribosomal RNA
Source: RNAcentral
AGUGAACGCUGGCGGUAGGCCUAACACAUGCAAGUCGAACGGCAGCACAGUAAGAGCUUGCUCUUACGGGUGGCGAGUGGCGGACGGGUGAGGAAUACAUCGGAAUCUACUUUUUCGUGGGGGAUAACGUAGGGAAACUUACGCUAAUACCGCAUACGACCUACGGGUGAAAGCAUGGGAUCUUCGGACCUUGCGCGAUUGAAUGAGCCGAUGUCGGAUUAGCUAGUUGGCGGGGUAAAGGCCCACCAAGGCGACGAUCCGUAGCUGGUCUGAGAGGAUGGUCAGCCACACUGGAACUGAGACACGGUCCAGACUCCUACGGGAGGCAGCAGUGGGGAAUAUUGGGCAAAGGGCGCAAGCCUGAUCCAGCCAUACCGCGUGGGUGAAGAAGGCCUUCGGGUUGUAAAGCCCUUUUGUUGGGAAAGAAAAGCAGCAGGUUAAUACCCCGCUGUUCUGACGGUACCCAAAGAAUAAGCACCGGCUAACUUCGUG